Molecule: ribosomal RNA, 382 nt
Filed under: Bacillus sp. (in: firmicutes)
Lineage: Bacteria; Bacillati; Bacillota; Bacilli; Caryophanales; Bacillaceae
Description: bacterial SSU rRNA
Rfam family: Bacterial small subunit ribosomal RNA
Source: RNAcentral
GAUAGGAAUUCCACGUGUAGCGGUGAAAUGCGUAGAGAUGUGGAGGAACACCAGUGGCGAAGGCGACUCUCUGGUCUGUAACUGACGCUGAGGAGCGAAAGCGUGGGGAGCGAACAGGAUUAGAUACCCUGGUAGUCCACGCCGUAAACGAUGAGUGCUAAGUGUUAGGGGGUUUCCGCCCCUUAGUGCUGCAGCUAACGCAUUAAGCACUCCGCCUGGGGAGUACGGUCGCAAGACUGAAACUCAAAGGAAUUGACGGGGGCCCGCACAAGCGGUGGAGCAUGUGGUUUAAUUCGAAGCAACGCGAAGAACCUUACCAGGUCUUGACAUCCUCUGACAAUCCUAGAGAUAGGACGUCCCCUUCGGGGGCAGAGUGACAGGU